Molecule: long non-coding RNA, 576 nt
Organism: Sorghum bicolor (sorghum)
Lineage: Eukaryota; Viridiplantae; Streptophyta; Magnoliopsida; Poales; Poaceae
Exons: 3
Source: RefSeq, a predicted model, not a curated record
CAAAAUUUGCAAGGUUUCUCUACGGCUCAGAAGUUCUGAAGGUUUCUCUACAUAUUAUCCUCAAUAUGACAAUGAGGAUCAUAUCAGAGAGCAACAAGUCACAUGGAAAGUCCUAUGAUCAACUAUAGAACUAUAGAAGGAUGCUGACCAAACUUGAAUUCAGCUGAUCAGAUAGCAGAAUAGAAGAGAUGCAAGUGACAAGAGAGUACAUUGAUAAUAUAGAGGCCCCAUUUUUGCUUGUUGCAGAGGGCUUGGAGGAAGGAAUCCAUGAUUUCAGAUAAGUGAAAUAUGGUCACUUUUAGUAGUGGUUUUGCACAUUUUCAUCUUAUAUAUAGAUGUGCAAAGACUCACACAAGGGAGAAUUGUCGAUGUUCAUGGACGAGUCAUGGUGAUGUUAUCUAUUGGAUGUAAGGAUGGAGAAGCACGUAUAAGAAUGACACUAUUUGGCUCUGGCUAGAUGUUAGAUUAUACAUUUGCAUCAAGUAGACUUGCUUUCAGGUUUAAAAUAUGUUAUAUUUGUAUGGAGAGUGACUAUAGAUUUUUAAUAAUUUUAUGUUGAUCGGUGAUGACUUUCUA